Molecule: ribosomal RNA, 317 nt
Filed under: uncultured eukaryote
Lineage: Eukaryota
Description: partial 18S ribosomal RNA
Rfam family: Eukaryotic small subunit ribosomal RNA
Source: RNAcentral
CCCUUAGAUGUCCGGGGCCGCACGCGCGCUACACUGAAGGAAUCAGCGUGGCUCUGUCCCUGGUCCGAAAGGAUUGGGAAACCCGUUGAAUCUCCUUCGUGAUAGGGAUUGGGGCUUGGAACUGUUCCCCAUGAACGAGGAAUUCCCAGUAAGCGCGAGUCAUAAGCUCGCGUUGAUUACGUCCCUGCCCUUUGUACACACCGCCCGUCGCUACUACCGAUUGAAUGGUCCGGUGAAGCCUCCGGAUUGGCGCGCACCUCGGUGCCGCCGAGAAGUUGGCUAAACCUUACCAUUUAGAGGAAGGUGAANUCGUAACA